Molecule: unclassified non-coding RNA, 238 nt
Filed under: Hevea brasiliensis (rubber tree)
Lineage: Eukaryota; Viridiplantae; Streptophyta; Magnoliopsida; Malpighiales; Euphorbiaceae
Source: RNAcentral
GGACAAUGGUACGGUAAAGUGUUCAUGCAGAUGAUAUCUUAUAGGUAGAGCACAAUUGUGCUAAGAGAUGAUGAAAUUUGAAGAGAAAGACCAAGAAACCGUUAUUAUAUGGACAAUCGGGCGUAGUUGAAUAUAAGAGGAUAUUUUUCUUUCUUUUCAAGUUUAGUUUGUGCUAUUGGUUCUAGAGGGUUAUAUAAGGAACGGAGACAGAGUCAAGGAGACCUAGUUAUUUGAGAGU